Molecule: ribosomal RNA, 467 nt
Filed under: uncultured bacterium
Lineage: Bacteria
Description: partial 16S ribosomal RNA
Rfam family: Bacterial small subunit ribosomal RNA
Source: RNAcentral
GACGAACGCUGGCGGCGUGCUUAACACAUGCAAGUCGAACGGAAAGGCCCCAGCUUGCUGGAGUACUCGAGUGGCGAACGGGUGAGUAACACGUGGGUAACCUGCCCUGCACUCUGGGAUAAGCCUGGGAAACUGGGGCUAAUACUGGAUAUGACCUUCCUCUUCAUGGGGUUUGGUGGAAAGUUUUGCGGUGUAGGAUGAGCCCGCGGCCUAUCAGCUUGUUGGUGGGGUGAUGGCCUACCAAGGCGACGACGGGUAGCCGGCCUGAGAGGGUGAUCGGCCACAUUGGGACUGAGAUACGGCCCAGACUCCUACGGGAGGCAGCAGUGGGGAAUAUUGCACAAUGGGCGGAAGCCUGAUGCAGCGACGCCGCGUGAGGGAUGACGGCCUUCGGGUUGUAAACCUCUUUCAGCAGGGACGAAGCGUAAGUGACGGUACUUGCAAAAGAAGCACCGGCUAACUACGUG